AAAAAAACUAAAAAGUAAAUAUUUUUUAAAUGUAGAAAUUAUUUACUGUACAAUUACCUUAACUACCUCAUUAAGAUAAUAAGUUACCAUUAUUUGACUUAUAAAUAUCCUACUUCUUACAGAAUUCCUGGGAGCACCUUUUCAAGAUCAAAUCGAAUGUAACUGCCUACACAAAUGAACAUAUGCCAGGAAACCUAUUUCUUUUGGGAGUUGUGCAAAAGCUAGCAGACAGUAGUCAGUGAAAAAAAAAAAAAUAAGAGAAUCAUGUUACUCAUGUUACUGAAGCACUUCAGUGCCAACUGAAGAUGAUCUAUCACUCCUGAUGAAUUUGAUUUAAUAUCACCUCUCUUAAACUUUCUUUAUGGUUAUCUUAAUUAUUUGGAUUUCUAUAUUAUAAAAAUCAUGAACUGUUAAUAGCAUUCAAUAAUUUGAAAAAAAUGAAAGUCACAUAAAACAAAAUCCAGAGAAUCAAAUGCCUAGUUCUGAUAUUCAAUUAUUGUCUGUCAUCUGAAAUUAUUAGGAAAAGGUAAUUUUAGGAAAUAAGCACACUUUCAUUCAUAGCAUAUUCAUUUGAAAUUUACUAAAGCAUACAUUGCUUACCAAACACAACCAUUGCUAAAGCUAGUUGUUUGUUACAGAUUUUUAGGAUUAUACCUGGGAGAAAAAAACAAAAAACAACAAAAUCUCUAAAACCAGAUCUUCCCUCAAACUUGUUUAGAGAUGCAAAUAGUAAACAUCAAUACUGGUUCCUCA
This 753-nucleotide long non-coding RNA is filed under the name Marmota monax (woodchuck). The record is from RNAcentral. Lineage: Eukaryota; Metazoa; Chordata; Mammalia; Rodentia; Sciuridae.